UUUUAUCUUUGUUUCUUUCUUCUUUCUUCUUUUUUUUUUUUUUUAAAAAAAAACAUUUUUAGAUUGGGAAUGUGUUUUACCCUUGUUCCUUCGUGGUUUUGGAUUCUCCUAAUAUGGAUUUCCUUUUUGGGCUGGAUAUGCUUCGUAAGCACCAGUGCAUAAUUGAUUUGAAGGAGAAUGUCUUGAGAGUUGGUGGAGGAGAGGUUUCAGUACCCUUUUUGCAAG
Molecule: non-coding RNA, 225 nt
Organism: Camellia sinensis
Lineage: Eukaryota; Viridiplantae; Streptophyta; Magnoliopsida; Ericales; Theaceae
Source: RefSeq, a predicted model, not a curated record